Oryza sativa Indica Group (long-grained rice) is the source of this 169-nucleotide microRNA precursor. It matches the Rfam family "MIR812 microRNA precursor family". Lineage: Eukaryota; Viridiplantae; Streptophyta; Magnoliopsida; Poales; Poaceae. The record is from Rfam.
AAAAAGGCAAACUCUAGGUUUCCGUGUCUAACUUUGACUGUCCGUCUUAUAUAAAUUUUUUUAUAAUUUGUAUUUUCAUUGUUGUUAGAUGAUAAAACUUUUAUGAGUGACUUGUCUUUUUAUUUUUUUUUCAUAAUUUUUUUAAAUAAGACGGACGGUCAAACGAGGG